Molecule: ribosomal RNA, 405 nt
Filed under: uncultured bacterium
Lineage: Bacteria
Description: partial 16S ribosomal RNA
Rfam family: Bacterial small subunit ribosomal RNA
Source: RNAcentral
GAUGAACGCUGGCGGCGUGCCUAAUACAUGCAAGUCGAGCGAAGCGGGGACGGGUGAGUAAAGCGUGGAUAAACUCCUAUAAGAAUGGGCUAACUUCGGGAAACCGGAGCUAAACCGGAUACUUAUAGAUGGAGCCGCGCUGCAUUAGCUAGUUGGUAAGGUACCGGCUGACAAAGUCAACGAUGCAUAGGCGACCUGAGAGGUUGAUCGUCCACACUGGAACAUGGACACGGUCCAGACUCCGACUGGCGGCAGCAUGGGGGAAUCUGGCACAAUGGGCGAAAGCCUGACGGAGCAAUGCCGCGUGACUGCGGAAUGUCUUCGGAUCGUAAAACGCUGUUAUUAGUGAAGCGGUACCUAAUCAGAAAGCGACGGCUAACUACGUGCCAGCAGCCGCGGUAAUAC